CUACGGGGUGCACCAGUGGGGAAUAUUGCACAAUGGAGGAAACUCUGAUGCAGCAACGCCGCGUGGAGGAUGACACUUUUCGGAGCGUAAACUCCUUUUAUAUAGGAAGAAGAUGACGGUACUAAAUGAAUAAGCGCCGGCUAACUCCGUGCCAGCAGCCGCGGUAAUACGGAGGGCGCAAGCGUUACUCGGAAUCACUGGGCGUAAAGAGCGUGUAGGCGGAUUAAAAAGUCAGAAGUGAAAUCCUAUAGCUUAACUAUAGAACUGCCUCUGAAACUCUUAAUCUAGAAUAUGGGAGAGGUAGAUGGAAUUUCUGGUGUAGGGGUAAAAUCCGUAGAGAUCAGAGGGAAUACCGAUUGCGAAGGCGAUCUACUAGAGCAUUAUUGACGCUGAGACGCGAAAGCGUGGGGAGCAAACAGGAUUAGAUACCCGAGUAGUC
This 439-nucleotide ribosomal RNA is filed under the name uncultured bacterium. RNAcentral describes it as "partial 16S ribosomal RNA". It matches the Rfam family "Bacterial small subunit ribosomal RNA", at positions 339 to 795 of the family's 1533-position model. The record is from RNAcentral.